Molecule: ribosomal RNA, 460 nt
Filed under: uncultured bacterium
Lineage: Bacteria
Description: partial 16S ribosomal RNA
Rfam family: Bacterial small subunit ribosomal RNA
Source: RNAcentral
CCUACGGGUGGCAGCAGUGAGGAAUAUUGGUCAAUGGACGAGAGUCUGAACCAGCCAAGUAGCGUGAAGGAUGACUGCCCUAUGGGUUGUAAACUUCUUUUAUAUGGGAAUAAAAUGUUCCACGUGUGGGAUUUUGUAUGUACCAUAUGAAUAAGGAUCGGCUAACUCCGUUCCAGCAGCCGCGGUAAUACGGAGGAUCCGAGCGUUAUCCGGAUUUAUUGGGUUUAAAGGGAGAGUAGGUGGAUUGUUAAGUCAGUUGUGAAAGUUUGCGGCUCAACCGUAAAAUUGUAGUUGAAACUGGCAGUCUUGAGUACAGUAGAGGUGGGCGGAAGUCGUGGUGUAGCGGUGAAAUGCUUAGAUAUCACGAAGAACUCCGAUUGCGAAGGCAGUUCACUGGACUGCAACUGACACUGAGGCUCGAAAGUGUGGGUAUCAAACAGGAUUAGAUACCCCUGUAGUC